This 465-nucleotide ribosomal RNA is filed under the name Vreelandella stevensii. RNAcentral's name for it is "partial 16S ribosomal RNA". It matches the Rfam family "Bacterial small subunit ribosomal RNA", at positions 338 to 795 of the family's 1533-position model. The record is from RNAcentral. Lineage: Bacteria; Pseudomonadati; Pseudomonadota; Gammaproteobacteria; Oceanospirillales; Halomonadaceae.
CCUACGGGAGGCUGCAGUGGGGAAUAUUGGACAAUGGGGGGAACCCUGAUCCAGCCAUGCCGCGUGUGUGAAGAAGGCCCUCGGGUUGUAAAACACUUUCAGUGAGGAAGAACGCCUGGUGGUUAAUACCCAUCAGGAAAGACAUCACUCACAGAAGAAGCACCGGCUAACUCCGUGCCAGCAGCCGCGGUAAUACGGAGGGUGCGAGCGUUAAUCGGAAUUACUGGGCGUAAAGCGCGCGUAGGUGGCUUGAUAAGCCGGUUGUGAAAGCCCCGGGCUCAACCUGGGAACGGCAUCCGGAACUGUCAAGCUAGAGUGCAGGAGAGGAAGGUAGAAUUCCCGGUGUAGCGGUGAAAUGCGUAGAGAUCGGGAGGAAUACCAGUGGCGAAGGCGGCCUUCUGGACUGACACUGACACUGAGGUGCGAAAGCGUGGGUAGCAAACAGGAUUAGAUACCCCAGUAGUC